CCUACGGGAGGCAGCAGUAGGGAAUUUUCGUCAAUGGGCGCAAGCCUGAACGAGCAAUGCCGCGUGAACGAGGAAGGUCUUCGGAUCGUAAAGUUCUGUUGAAGGGGAAAAAGAGCGGAGAGAGGAAAUGCUUUCUGAUUGAUAUUACCCUUCGAGGAAGUCACGGCUAACUACGUGCCAGCAGCCGCGGUAAUACGGAGGUGGCGAGCGUUAUCCGGAAUGAUUUGGCGUAAAGGGUGCGUAGGCGGCAUGCGAAGUCGGGGGUGAAAGGUACCGGCCCAACCGGGACAGGCCCUGGAAACUGGCGAGCUAGAGAGCAGGAGAGGGCGGUAGAACUCCAGGUGUAGCGGUAAAAUGCGUAGAUAUAUGGAAGAACACCAGUGGCGAAGGCGGCCGCCUGGCC
This 403-nucleotide ribosomal RNA is filed under the name uncultured bacterium. Its description in RNAcentral is "partial 16S ribosomal RNA". It matches the Rfam family "Bacterial small subunit ribosomal RNA", at positions 338 to 734 of the family's 1533-position model. The record is from RNAcentral.